UUCGAGUUCGCCGGAGAGGGAGGAGAGAUGGCCAGGAAGGGCGGAGAGAGGAAGAAGGCGGUGACCCGGUCCACCAAGGCCGGCCUCCAGUUCCCCGUCGGCCGCAUCGGGCGCUUCCUCAAGAAGGGCCGCUACGCGCAGCGCGUCGGCUCCGGCGCCCCCGUCUACCUCGCCGCCGUCCUCGAGUACCUCGCCGCCGAGGUAACCAACCAACCGAUCUCGUCCUCCGUUCCUGCUCUGUUCUUUCUCCCCUUCGACGGAGGGCUGACAGAUCUUGUCUCCGUUCUUUGGAUGGAUUCGCAGGUGCUGGAGCUCGCCGGCAACGCCGCCAAGGACAACAAGAAGACCCGCAUCGUGCCGCGCCACCUGCUCCUCGCCAUCCGCAACGACCAGGAGCUCGGCAAGCUGCUCGCCGGCGUCACCAUCGCGCACGGCGGCGUGCUCCCCAACAUCAACCCCGUGCUGCUCCCCAAGAAGGCCCUCGAGAAGGCCGAGAAGGAGUCCCAGUCGCCCAAGUCGCCCAAGAGGAAGGCCCCCGCUCCCGCCCCCGCCGCCAAGAAGACCCCCAAGAAGAAGGCCGCCGACAAGAAGACCGCCGCCGCUGACAAGAAGAAGGCCGCCGCCGACGCCGAGGAGGAGGCCGCCGCCGACGAGUAGAAAGGGCCAAGUUGCGUCGCGUAGUUCUGCAUCUGAGAUGGGAGAGAAAGAGAGAGAUCAUGUGAUCCUGUAUGUAAUGCCUGGUCUUGAGUCCGAACUGGUAGUAGUCUGUAGCGUCGAUUGAUCUUGAAUCACUGCUGAAAUGAAGCUGGAAACUUGAUCGUUUAGCCAAUUCCAAUCUUCUCCGUGUCAAUCUCUCG
This 857-nucleotide long non-coding RNA is filed under the name Triticum aestivum (bread wheat). Its description in RNAcentral is "long non-coding RNA (TAES_LNC000962)". Lineage: Eukaryota; Viridiplantae; Streptophyta; Magnoliopsida; Poales; Poaceae. The record is from RNAcentral.